AUACCCAAACACUCAGGGCCCUUUCUCCGGCCUCACUGUCCCAGCGGGGUCCCAGUUCCCUGGAAACCCAGGUGCCCACUCUCUUAUUUGACCUCAGGACCUUCUCCCACAUCAUACUGGCUUCCCGCCAAGUCUCUGUCCCCCUUCCCCAAUCAGGCCUCAGUUCCCCACACCAACCUCUGUUUCUGCCCCUGCCUGGGGUACCCUCCCAGGUCUCUGCCUUCUCUCCUACCCCCAUCAUCAGGGUCAGUGACCCCUACACUCGAAUGUGGCUGCCCCCUGCCCAGCCGGAAAGCCUCCCAGGUCUCUGCCUUCUCCUCCUCCAGCAAUCGGGGGUUAACACCCCUCUGCCCUUCCCCUCCUCCUGCCCAGCCGGACACCCUCCCAGGUCUGUAUUCUCUUUCCCUACCAGCAAUCAGGGGUCAGCUCCGCUCUAGCCCUCCCUUGUUCAGUCAGGCACCCUCCCAGGUUUGUCUUCUCUCUUACCCCCAUCAGCGGCCAGUUCACCCUCGACUGUGGCUUCCUCCUGCCCAGCUGGGAACACUCGCUGAUCUGUUUUCUCCUCCCCUACCAACAAUCGGGGGUCAGCUCCCCCCUAUCCAUCCCCCUGCCCCGCCAGGCACCCUCUCAGGUCUGUGUCUUCUCCUACCCCGGCAACCGGGGGUCAAUGCUCCUCUGCCCUUCCCCUCCUCCUGCCCAGCCAGACACCCUCCUAGGUCUGUGUCUUCUCUUCCCCUACCAGCAAUCAGGGCUCAGCUAACCUCUGGCCCUCCUUCUGGCCCGGCCAGGCACAAUCCCAGGUCUCUGUCUUCUCUUCUCCUACCAGCAAUCAGGGGUCAGCUCCUCUCUGCCCAUCCCCACCCCCUCCCCAGCCAGGCACCUCCCAGGUCUCCUCUCUGCAUUGGGUCAGUUCCCGUUCCCUCUCCCUCCACCACUCUGUCCCUCCCCCUCCCCGGCCAGGCACCCUCCCGGGUCUGUUCCCUCUCGCUGCCCUCCUCGGGGCGUCCCCAUCAGGGGUUGACCGCCCCCACCCCGCAGAGGCCCAGGCCCCCUCCCACUUCAGAAGCCCCCUCCCGCUCCCGCCGAUAG
This 1089-nucleotide long non-coding RNA is filed under the name Piliocolobus tephrosceles (Ugandan red Colobus). RNAcentral describes it as "lncRNA (ENSPTEG00000022496.1)". The record is from RNAcentral. Lineage: Eukaryota; Metazoa; Chordata; Mammalia; Primates; Cercopithecidae.